RNAcentral lists this ribosomal RNA (199 nucleotides) under uncultured bacterium. RNAcentral describes it as "partial 16S ribosomal RNA". It matches the Rfam family "Bacterial small subunit ribosomal RNA", at positions 1301 to 1500 of the family's 1533-position model. The record is from RNAcentral.
CAGUCUGCAACUCGACUGCGUGAAGUCGGAAUCGCUAGUAAUCGCGGAUCAGCAUGCCGCGGUGAAUACGUUCCCGGGCCUUGUACACACCGCCCGUCACACCAUGAGAGUCGGGAACACCCGAAGUCCGUAGCCUAACCGCAAGGGGGCGCGGCCGAAGGUGGGUUCGAUAAUUGGGGUGAAGUCGUAACAAGGUAGC